Molecule: long non-coding RNA, 847 nt
Filed under: Numida meleagris (helmeted guineafowl)
Lineage: Eukaryota; Metazoa; Chordata; Aves; Galliformes; Numididae
Description: lncRNA (ENSNMEG00000000546.1)
Source: RNAcentral
UCAGCCCCACGCAUGCGCGCCGGGAGGGGAGCGGGGCGGAGUGGGCUGAGACUCUGCCGAACCCCGCCCUGGACCCGCAGGCGGGAACAACAGCCCCCAGCGUAGCCAAUCAGAACACAGAGAUGCCUUUGUUUGACGCGGAAGCCAGCAAGUGAGCUUGAAGCUGGGCAAGGGGCGGGGAAGUGGGGGGCAGGCGAUGUUGAGAGUGACAGGAAAACUGGCCAGUGGGCGAGCUGGAGGGAGGGAGGAGGAGCUUCCGGUCCCGCCCCCUCACGCGUGCCCGCCCGAGGGGGUGGUUUGAAGCCUCCGAAGCCUCAGGGGCAAGUUUUUCUCAAAUGUUUAUACUACCAGUGAAUACUGGAGAGGAGAAAGUGAAGCACAGGCACAUAGGGUGCAAGACAUUUGACUUCAGAACCCUUUGAAGGUGUUCCAGGGUGUACUUACGCUAUAAACUGUUAGAGAGAAGGGAAGGAAUUUGGAAAACCCGGAAGCUCUAUUGUCUCUUCAACCACAGGACAAAAUCACAUCAGUCACAUAUCCCACAACUUUUCUUGAGCGCUCUUGCCUACUUAGGAUUUCAGAAAAGGACCCAGGUCAGUGCCACAAAGUAUGCCUUCCUCAGAAAUUUGUCUUCGUCUUGGGACGCUGCUUUCCAGAGCUGUUUCAUGGAGUCACAACUGCACAUUGUUUUAUUACCGCAUACCACAUGCAGCAUUGGAAUGUCACACACAUGCUACAUGAAGGCUAACAGAAACAGACCUUUACUCUUUCCUUUUAUCUGCCAUCUGAGACUCUGAAAGAGCUGCUUAGUAGGCAUUACUUUAAUUUGCAGUUAAGGAUGUGAUCA